UGUGAGAGCGAUCCAUAGAUCCAUGGAGCGAUCGCGGCUGCGCCAAAUGCGUGUUUCCAAAUGGUGGAAUGAAUCGUUGUGACAGGUUAUAUCUUAUAUGUGAUGGAUUUUAAUGUGGAUCUAAAUCGAGCUCGAAACGAUAUCGAGCACUCGAAAUUUCGAGUACUCGCACAGCCCUAAAUAAUAGUAAUUGGGGGUUUACGUCGCGAGACAACUGCGGAGAUCACAUUGAAAUGUCUUCAUCAUGCAUCAUGGUCCACUUUUUCAAGUAGUAAAUAAGUGUGCCAGGAAAUGAAACUUUCACAAAUGUCUUGCAAAAUAUUUGCGGCUACUAAAUAAAAAGAGAGCUUUCUUUAUGACAUUUUUAAGCUAAACACAAAAAUCACAUCCCACCUCGUACCAGAUUAUCGUAAAAAUCACCUGCUCAUAUAUAUAUAUAUAUAUAAAAAACGAGGCUGGUGGUGGCAGCGGAGCGGAGCUCGCCGUCGUUGGCCUCACAGUGGGCAACGUCACGACUAACAGUCUGAGGGGAAUGUGCGUCCUGGGCAGACUUCUAAGGAAAGUGUGCCAACAUACGUCUGACGGCGGCGGAGGAAAACCCAAGAAGAACCCCAGAAGACAGCACAACCGGCACCAACAUUCGAACCUGGGUACCUCCCAGUCUCGACGUGACAUGACCAGCUCACUAACCACUCAGCCCCGCGAGGUCGAUAUAUUAGAAAUGACCAUGUACUUGAAACAUCCUUGUACAAACGAGCUGCCAACAGACCUCUACCUAAGAAACGUCACCGUGCCGUAAUCAUGACACUGGUAGACGUAGCGAAACCGAAACAGCGCGGGCAGAGAAUACCGCAGUUUCACAAAGCCGUAUUCCUACACGAAGGUCACGGGUGGCUUCUUUGUAUUAGUGGUCCACACAAAUGAGGUCACGUUUUUAGUCACUUUCGUGUCUUCAUAUGUUCACUUUCCCAGUCCACCGCGAAGAUAGAAAAGAAGGCUUCACCCCAAGAGUUGCAUAGUCUGAAUGACAUAUAGGGACACCACGUGCACUCUGAGAGAAACUCGUGCCCUUCAGGCUCCAGAAGAUGGAAGAGGUGGCAAGGGCUACCGAAAAGAUGGGGCUGCCGGUAAAAUGGAAGAGAACAAGGCCAUUCAACCUGAUAAUAUGUAAGGAGUUACAUAAAAAUCUUACAAUAUGAGAAGCCACAUUUAAACGUGGCCACCUUA
Long non-coding RNA from Ornithodoros turicata, 1227 nucleotides. RefSeq lists it as uncharacterized. The record is from RefSeq and is a predicted model, not a curated record. Lineage: Eukaryota; Metazoa; Arthropoda; Arachnida; Ixodida; Argasidae. The transcript has 2 exons.